UACGUAGGGUGCGAGCGUUAAUCGGAAUUACUGGGCGUAAAGCGUGCGCAGGCGGUUGGGAAAGAUAGAUGUGAAAGCCCUGGGCUCAACCUAGGAAUUGCAUUUGUGACUAUUCGACUAGAGUACGGUAGAGGGGAGUGGAAUUCCGCGUGUAGCAGUGAAAUGCGUAGAUAUGCGGAGGAACACCGAUGGCGAAGGCAGCUCCCUGGACCUGUACUGACGCUCAUGCACGAAAGCGUGGGGAGCAAACAGG
This 253-nucleotide ribosomal RNA is filed under the name uncultured bacterium. RNAcentral describes it as "partial 16S ribosomal RNA". It matches the Rfam family "Bacterial small subunit ribosomal RNA", at positions 524 to 776 of the family's 1533-position model. The record is from RNAcentral.